Molecule: transfer RNA, 87 nt
Filed under: Candidatus Dojkabacteria bacterium
Lineage: Bacteria
Description: tRNA-Leu
Rfam family: tRNA
About the family: Transfer RNA (tRNA) molecules are approximately 80 nucleotides in length. Their secondary structure includes four short double-helical elements and three loops (D, anti-codon, and T loops).
Source: RNAcentral
GCCGAGAUGGCGGAAUUGGUAGACGCGUCGGACUCAAAAUCCGAUUCUAGCAAUAGAGUGGGGGUUCGAUUCCCCCUUUCGGCACCA